CGCGGGGUGGAGCAGCGGCAGCUCGCCGGGCUCAUAACCCGGAGGUCGUGGGUUCGAGUCCCACCCCCGCUACCG
This 75-nucleotide transfer RNA is filed under the name Dehalococcoidia bacterium. Its description in RNAcentral is "tRNA-Met". It matches the Rfam family "tRNA". Rfam says of the family: Transfer RNA (tRNA) molecules are approximately 80 nucleotides in length. Their secondary structure includes four short double-helical elements and three loops (D, anti-codon, and T loops). Further hydrogen bonds mediate the characteristic L-shaped molecular structure. tRNAs have two regions of fundamental functional importance: the anti-codon, which is responsible for specific mRNA codon recognition, and the 3' end, to which the tRNAs corresponding amino acid is attached (by aminoacyl-tRNA synthetases). tRNAs cope with the degeneracy of the genetic code in two manners: having more than one tRNA (with a specific anti-codon) for a particular amino acid; and 'wobble' base-pairing, i.e. permitting non-standard base-pairing at the 3rd anti-codon position. Lineage: Bacteria; Bacillati; Chloroflexota; Dehalococcoidia. The record is from RNAcentral.